This 432-nucleotide ribosomal RNA is filed under the name uncultured bacterium. RNAcentral's name for it is "partial 16S ribosomal RNA". It matches the Rfam family "Bacterial small subunit ribosomal RNA", at positions 29 to 506 of the family's 1533-position model. The record is from RNAcentral.
AACGAACGCUGGCGGCAUGCCUAACACAUGCAAGUCGAACGAGACCUUCGGGUCUAGUGGCGCACGGGUGCGUAACGCGUGGGAACCUGCCCUUAGGUUCGGAAUAACUCCCCGAAAGGGGUGCUAAUACCGGAUAAUGUCUUCGGACCAAAGAUUUAUCGCCUUUGGAUGGGCCCGCGUUGGAUUAGCUAGUUGGUAGGGUAAAAGCCUACCAAGGCGACGAUCCAUAGCUGGUCUGAGAGGAUGAUCAGCCACACUGGGACUGAGACACGGCCCAGACUCCUACGGGAGGCAGCAGUGGGGAAUAUAGGACAAUGGGCGAAAGCCUGAUCCAGCAAUGCCGCGUGAGUGAUGAAGGCCUUAGGGUUGUAAAGCUCUUUUACCCGGGAUGAUAAUGACAGUACCGGGAGAAUAAGCUCCGGCUAACUCCGU